AUUGAACGCUGGCGGCAGGCCUAACACAUGCAAGUCGAACGAGUGGCGGACGGGUGUGUAAUGUCUGGGAAACUGCCUGAUGGAGGGGGUUAACUACUGGAAACGGUAGUUAAUACCGCAUACUAUCGGGUGUGCCCAGAUGGGAUUAGCUAGUGGGUGGGGUAAAGGCUCACCUAGGCGGCGAUCCCUAGCUGGUCUGAGGGGAUGACCGGCCAAACGGGAACGAGAAAACGGUCAGACCCCCUCCGGAGGGCAGAAGGGGGAAACAUUGCACAUGGGGGGCAGGCCGAAUGAGGCAAUGCCGCGUGGAGAAGGAAGGCCUUCGGGUUGUAAGGUACGUUAAGCGGGGAGACGUUACCCGCAGAGGAAGCAACGGCUAACUACGUGCCAGCAGCCGCGGUAAUAC
RNAcentral lists this ribosomal RNA (406 nucleotides) under uncultured bacterium. Its description in RNAcentral is "partial 16S ribosomal RNA". It matches the Rfam family "Bacterial small subunit ribosomal RNA", at positions 29 to 526 of the family's 1533-position model. The record is from RNAcentral.